GUCACAUGGCGCUGGGCUGUGGCAGAGGUACUAUGCUAGCUGGCUGCCGGCCGCAUGGAACUCUGGGUAGGAGAGUGCGUCUCGCGGCAAUGGCGACAGCAGUGUCACUUCGGGCAGGGCCCGGCGAAUCAUAUUUGGAAAACGCAGGUGUAACUUAGAAAAACAUGACACUGUCACAGUCAUUAAAACACUCGAGAUGGGGAACAUGAAUAGCAAGUGUUGGCUUGUCAAAGCUGUUGCAGUGUUGUCAAGACGUCCUAUGGUCGAUGUCAAACUGGCCGCUACCCAUUCAUAAAUAUUAAGUUGGACCAUAUUUCCAUGUUUGAGGGAAGAAAGAUUUCCUCAUCUUACUCACGGGUAGAUGCAUAUGGAUCACCAGAAUUACCUUGAUGCCAAGCAUAACUGCACCUCAAGAGCAUCUCAGAUUAUAACAUAUCUUCAGAUUUCUUGGAAUAUUUUGUGGUCAAGCAUUACAUUGCCUAUGAAAGAACAACUCUUGUUGUGUAUACAGGUGUAAACAUAUUAAAGUUCUAUCUGAACAUUUUGCUGAAGUAUUGGCUCUGUAAAUGAUGUCUGUGACCAUCAGAAUACACCAUAUAUACACUGGACACUUGCUGGAACAGGACCUACUUGUCAUCAACAUGGUGUUGCAGAACAUCUUGGGACUCAUAAAGUCCAGUGUGAAUCUAGAUACUGACACCAGUAACAGUGCAUGCUGGCACAUUUAUUUGUUCAGGCUUGGCAUUUGGGAAUAUUUGCCAUGAAUGUUAAAUACUCAUGACCUUGGAAUAAAAUUACUGAAUAGAUCUGAA
Haliotis rufescens (red abalone) is the source of this 812-nucleotide long non-coding RNA. RefSeq lists it as uncharacterized. The record is from RefSeq and is a predicted model, not a curated record. The transcript has 2 exons. NCBI's taxonomy places the organism in Eukaryota, Metazoa, Mollusca, Gastropoda, Lepetellida, Haliotidae.